GAAUUCAAUUAAAUUCUUUUCUUGGAUAUGAUUUAUUCCAAAGAAAUCAAUUCAGUUUCUUUUCAUAAUUCUUUUGCCGUCUGAUAAGAAUGAUAAGUUUAAACAUGAUUCACUGUUUAGAUCCAGACACUGACAUUAGUUGACCUAAAAUCGUUUGCUUUUCACUUCAAUUUUCCUUCACUCCUUUUGUAAAGACCCAAACUAAAUUUCUUCACAUACACCCAAUAAAAAU
Molecule: unclassified non-coding RNA, 232 nt
Filed under: Hevea brasiliensis (rubber tree)
Lineage: Eukaryota; Viridiplantae; Streptophyta; Magnoliopsida; Malpighiales; Euphorbiaceae
Source: RNAcentral